RNAcentral lists this long non-coding RNA (3333 nucleotides) under Homo sapiens (human). RNAcentral's name for it is "non-protein coding lnc-PCDH1-5:1". Lineage: Eukaryota; Metazoa; Chordata; Mammalia; Primates; Hominidae. The record is from RNAcentral.
CUAUGUGGCAAUGGAAAGGGCCCUGAAAGAAGGUGGCAGGUAGGAGGAGCUGAAAGCCAGGCAGGAGGCACCUGUGUGUUGGUGUGUGGGCCAGAGAAGAAGAAAGAGCCUCCAGGUGACAAGAGCUGCAGAAUGGGGAUAAUGAUACCCUGACAAAGCAGCAGAGCUUGGAGCCCAGCCCAGCCAGGGGGUCUGGAACAGCUAAGCCGCAAUGCACCACUCACAAAGGGGCUGUACCUGGGCAGUCUCACCCAAGGGACACUUCUCAGGGGUCAGGAGAAUUUCAGCUCUGUGUUUACACAUGAUUCUAGGCUGAGGGAGAGAGAAAAAGCAGGGUAGGGGGUGGCAGAUUAGGCGAGGGAAUGUGUCCCCUAGAUGGUCCCUUAGCUCAUAGUGGAAGUGGGCUCUAGAGCGCCUUGCCCAUGCCCUCUUCAUGCUCUAGAGAGGUGGGCAAAGGACAAAGUAUGCGACUACCCAGGAGAACCAGCCUCCAGAUUGAGAUUGGAGAUGAAGGCCACUCAGUCCCCUCCAUUGCAAAAAGAAUAAAAGAAAGGAGUAGGAUUGGCCAUUGCUUGCAAAUAAACAGGAGGGGGCAGUGUUGGGGUAAUGACCUCCAUCCGGGGAGGGUCAGGAAGGGAGCUGUCCUUUACUGGGCACCCAGGAGAUGCACCUGUACAAUUUCAUUCAUUCUCACGACCACCUCGUUAGGUAGGCACUAUCUCUGUGGCUCCAUUUGGCCAAUGAAAAGGAUGAAGAUCUGAGAAGUCAAGUUACACUGCUAGGAAGAGGUUGACUUGGAGUGGAAACCCAGGACUGCCUGUCUGACUGCUGAAUGGGUGCUUUGCGUUCCUUACCUGCCCUCCCAGGGCUCCAGACCGUCCCUCCUGCACAUCUGCCUCUCCCAGGCCGUGCCUGCAUGUCCCCAGCCCCCUCCAACAGCUCCAUCUCCCGAGAGCUCCUUGAAUCUCCUCACUCACUCCUCACUCUUGCUUCCUCUUUGGAAUCCAGCCACAGGCUUUUUUCUUCCAUCUGAGGGAGAGAAAAUGGUCUCGUUCCCCACCCCCAGGUCUUUCCAUCCUCUCAUCCUUUCCUUUGUUAGAUGCUUUCAUAUUACCAAGUUCCUAUAGUCAACUUCUUAUCUUACUUAGUAAUUAUGCAUUAUCUUAUCUGAUAUUAGUAUCUGACUUCCCACCAGAAUUACAACCCUCUGGGAAAGCUGGUUAUCUGAGAUUUUUUUGUUUGUUUUUUGAGACAUACUCGCUCUGUUGCCUGGGCUGAAGUAGAGUGGCCCGAUCUUGGCUCACUGGAAUUUCUGCCUCCCAGGUUCAAGCAAUUCUCAUGUUUCAGCCUCCAGAGUAGCUGGGACUAGAGGUGCCCGCCACCACGACAAAGCUAAUUUUUGUAUUUUUAGUAGAGACAGAGUCUCGCCAUGUUGGACAGGCUGGCCUUGAACUCCUAGCCUCAAGUGAUCCACCUGCCUUGGCCUCCCAAAGUGCUGCGGUUACAGGCAUGAGUCACAUUCCCAGCCUGAGGGCUUGUUAUCUUACCUGUGUAACUUAUCUGUAUCCCCUUUAUACAGGGGAAUAUAUUGACAGCCUUCAAAUGUGUUCUAUGUUCAAUAUAUUCAAUAUAUUCAGUAUAUUCAAAAUAUAUUGGCAGCCUUCAAAUUCUGCGAGGCUGUCACAUUGCAGAGGAAGACCAUGUUAACAUAGGAGCAGGGAGGUGAAGAAGUGGGUUGUUAAGGAGAAGUGGGUGGGGUUCCUUCUAAGGAAGGUCUUAUAAGAAUGAGAAGUUUCAGGGGUAGAACAGGUGCCCUCCCUGAAGGGCUGGGACAGCCCUGGUAAGAUUCAGGGGAAAUUAGCAGGCUGGGGAUUCAGGUGGGAAGGGUGAGGCAGGAGACGGAGCCUUGCUCUGUCGCCAGGCUGGAAUGCAAUGGCUCAACCUCGGCUACUGCAACCUCUGCCUCCCAGCUUCUAGUGAUUCUCCUGCCCCAGCCUCCUGAGUAGCUGGGACUACAGGUGUGCACCACCGCGCCCGGCUAAUUUUUGUAUUUUUGGUAAAGAUGGGGUUUCACCACAUUGGCCAGGAUGGUCUCGAUCUCUUGACCUCGUGAUCUGCCCGUCUUGGCCUUCCAAAGUGCUGGGAUUACAGGCGUGAGCCCGGCCAGAGUUGGAUUUUAAAAGGAAGGGAUGGGUCUUCAGGAAUUGAGAGGUGGAAGGGGUAAAAUCCUCAGAAUCAUCCGCGGUGAUUGCUUCUUUCUCCCAUUCCUCACUUUGAAUGAAUGAAUGAAUGAAUGUGGAAGGCACCCUCCCAUAGGAAGGUAUCUCUGUGAGACUGUGGUCACCUUGAUAAGGGGCCCUCAGGGCCUUCCCAGGGCUGAGCCCACAUGUCCAUCUCGUCUCCUCCAGAUGGCAGCUAUGAGGGCAAAGGAAGGAAGAUUCUGAGAGGAGAGGAAGCUGCAGCCAGGGGGAUGGAGGUUAGACAGCAGGCGAGUCAUGGGAAGGAGCGCAGAACGGAGGCUGGGGAUGGCUUCUUCCAUCAGAGCUCUGUGAGGGAGGAGUGGGGCUGUGUGUGUGUCUGGGCAGCCGCUGGGCCUGAGCUAAGAAGCCAUGCUUCUCCUGAAGAAUGGCAAGAAAUUAGCACUUGGCUGGGCCGCCCCAUCAUUGCUGUUCCUCACACCUUGCUGGGUAAUUUCUACAAGACCAAAGCCUGAGCCUAAUGGGCCGCCUGCUUCCAGCCCGGUGGACAACAUCAGGGAAAGCAGCCCCCAGGGUUUCUCACAGACUAAGGGGCUCUGUGCUCUGCUGAAAGGAUGGUGCUUACAGUUGUCAGGAGAGAAGGACACUCUGAAAGCUUGGGAUCCUACAGCUGUUGGGUGAGAAUGAGCAAGUUAAGAGUGCUCUGCUGAGCCUAAAAAGCAGGAAAACGUUCUCUGCGGCAAUGGGAAAAGGAGUCAUCUCUGUUAGUGACUUGAGUGCCAAAGAGCCAUGUCUGUGCUCGGCACACGCCGAGUGGUGAAGCCUCCAGCGUGUACAGCCAUGCCACAGCUAGAGGCAGCUCAGGACAGAUCUUAGUAGCUGGUACCAGGAAAGCACCCAGGGCUACCUGACCUAGACUGCUCUCUGACCAAGCCCCAUGUCUUAUGCACACACUGUGGCACAUGCCGUGGCACAUGCUGAAGCCAGCCUUAGCUCUAGUACUUACCCCAGCACAUCCUCCAGCUGCUGCCCUCCUUCCCCAGCCCCCACAGGAAUCCCAGGUCCCAUCUGCUCCACUUCUCUGCAUUUCCCCUGAACAUCUGGACUGCUCCUGAAAUCUGGCUCCUUGUUCCAU